AUGGAUAGUGGGGAUCCAGGGCAACCCUUGGUCCUGUGACAGUGACAGAUAGACAUGUGUUUGGCUGCAAGUAACUGGAAAUCCAACUGACCGUGGCUCAGACAAGCCCGGGUUUAUUUUCCCCACAGAAUACGAAGUUCACUGGGAGGCAGUUGUUGGUCUUGACUUAGUGGCUCAAGAGAAUCAGGGCUCUUGCCGGCAUCUUUGCACUCCUCUUGGCCUCUCCCUGUGGCUUCAGAGGGGAUGCUUCAGGUCUUCUUAAGGUAGGAAGAAGGAAUAAGGGCAGCACCAGCCACAUCUGUCCCCUUUAUCCCGAAGUAAAGCUUUUCCAGGACCCUCAGAGGAGCUCCCCUCACAUCUCAUUGGGCAGAGCUGAUCCUAUGACCGAUCACAUGCCUGCCUCAGCCGCAAGGGAUGCUGGAAAGAGGAAGGGAGAUAGAAGUAUCGAUGAGAGAGACACAUUGAUCGGCUGCUUCCUGCAUGCCUCCCAACGGGGAUCAAGCCCACAACCCAGAAUGAAUUGAAAUGCCUCCUCCUCCAGGAACUAUUCUGUGAUCUACCAAUCGGCCAGAAUGUAUUGAGCAACCACUACAUGCCAGCCCCUGUUCUGGACAUAGAGGACAGAUGGUGACUGUAACAGACACAGCCCCUGCAUCUAAUCAUCUUCCUGGGAAUGGUCCUUCACCAGACUCUGAGCAACUUGGAGGCAGAGAUCUGGCUAAUUCAACUUUACAUAAGAAUAUAUCCCAGAGCCUGGCACAUAGUAGGCGGUUAAUGAAUUCAACAACUUGCUCAUGCGUGUAGUUAUGGAAAUGUAAAGGCGCCAGAGGGCCAGCAUGAUAGGAAAAAAUAAAAUU
Molecule: long non-coding RNA, 857 nt
Organism: Eptesicus fuscus (big brown bat)
Lineage: Eukaryota; Metazoa; Chordata; Mammalia; Chiroptera; Vespertilionidae
Exons: 4
Source: RefSeq, a predicted model, not a curated record